GACGAACGCUGGCGGCGUGCUUAACACAUGCAAGUCGAACGGUGAAGGGACCAGCUUGCUGGUUCUGGAUGAGUGGCGAACGGGUGAGUAACACGUGAGUAACCUGCCCCCUUCUUCUGGAUAACCGCAUGAAAGUGUGGCUAAUACGGGAUAUUCUGGGUCUGUCGCAUGGCGGGCCCGGGAAAGAUAUUGCUUCGGUGGGGGAUGGGCUCGCGGCCUAUCAGCUUGUUGGUGGGGUGAUGGCCUACCAAGGCGGUGACGGGUAGCCGGCCUGAGAGGGUGGACGGUCACACUGGGACUGAGACACGGCCCAGACUCCUACGGGAGGCAGCAGUGGGGAAUAUUGCACAAUGGGCGCAAGCCUGAUGCAGCGACGCCGCGUGAGGGAUGGAGGCCUUCGGGGUGUAAACCCCUUUCGCCAGUGAAGCAGGCCUGCUCCUUGUGGGUGGGUUGACGGUAGCUGGAUAAGAAGCGCCGGCUAACUACGUG
RNAcentral lists this ribosomal RNA (489 nucleotides) under uncultured bacterium. RNAcentral's name for it is "partial 16S ribosomal RNA". It matches the Rfam family "Bacterial small subunit ribosomal RNA", at positions 28 to 507 of the family's 1533-position model. The record is from RNAcentral.